AAAGAAGGAAAUGUCGUUAAAUUAUACUGUGAAAUGAAAUCGGCUUUGGCGUUCGCUUUGAGAAUUCGAAAAGACUGGGGGUUCUAGGAUUUUACUCUUAUUUUUCGUCUCCCAAUUGAAUUGUUAGGGUUUUAGAUUUAUAAAUCCCUGAAAAGAUUGGGGUUCUGUUCUUCUUGCUCCAGCUGCUGCUGCUGUUGUUGUAUGGGUUCUAAUUUCUAAGUAGUAAUAUGCUAUUUCAGUCAGCAUUUGAAUCCAAAGAGGCUUAUCGGAAGGCUAUUGGAUGCCCGAAAGGACGAUGCGAAGAUUAAAAGAAGCAAGGAUUAUUUGAAACGGUUGGAAUCUUACAUGAAGCUGUAUGGCAGUAUGGGGCACUGGUUCAGAUAUCUAAUUGUUUUUAUGGUACAUAGUAGGCGCAUAAUCUUACAUAGCAUAAAAGAUUAUGGCAGGCCUUGCUCUCUUCAGAGAACACAAAUCUCAGUUCAUGAAGGUGCUGAACAUCAUACCUGAGAACUUUCUCAGUGCCUUGAGAGCCCUAGAAGAUCCACAGUUGACGCCUAUUACGGCUGAGAUUCAGUUUUACUUAGAUGAUAAGAAGUUCCUGCAAGUACCAGAAGGAAGGGCUUUGCAAAGUUCUCUGUCAUCAAGUGUCAUGGUGCCCGACUCAAGACUUGUAUCAUCAACCAAGCAGAUAUUACUACUAAUUGAUUGAGCUGAGAAAUUUUUUGUUGUAUGUCUUUCGUUAAGAGUUGGUUGAAACUGCCUUCCCAGAAAGAAACUUCCCGUGGUGGUUAGAUGAUGUUGAAUUAUUAAUAUUAUUAUUAUACACAAAUCUUGUGAAAGAAAAGGGUUAAGAUAAAAAAUUACAUAAUAAUACAGGUUUUGCUGCUUUAAGUCUUGAUCCAAGUUCCUGCGGUCAUUCGGAAGAACCCUGUCCUUGAUUCUAGUGUCCAACGUACCGAUUUUGUUUCUAAAUCCAUAUAAAUAUGCAUUUCUAUCUGGGAGAAAAUGGUAGAAAUUUAAUUUUCAACUUUAGUGUCAGUACCAUAUUUUUGGCCCUUUUUUUCUCCUUAGAAAGUAUACCAUAAAUAUGAUUGGAAAAAAAUAGAUGGAUAUUGUUGCCAGUCAUCAUUCUUCUUGCUCACAUUUUGAUUGUCAAGACAAGGACUUUUCACAGAGUUUUUAUUCAGUUCACAAGCCCUAAAUUAUCCGUGAUGUGAAGACACAAACCAAGAGGCCAAAAAAAAAAAAUUAUAAGGAUCUCAGCCUAUUCAACUACUGAUUCGACAAAGGAUUAUGUUCAUUAAUCGCUUUGACGGGGUAAAAUUCUCAUCCUCUUCUAAGCCCCAUUCCCAAAGUAUUUGUUAUCUGCAAAGCCUUCAAUGUAGCAAGAGCCCUAUUUUGGCCGUGUUCCCUUACUUCCCACUUUACAGCUUUAAAUUGUUAAGUCAUAUAAUGCCAAAUAUUUUAACAUCCAUCAAGCUAGCAGCACAGUCUAGCUGGUGAUUGCAACUUCAUUCCCACCCCAGAGCGAUGCAUCAGGUGAGAUAUAGCCCUCCCC
Non-coding RNA from Durio zibethinus, 1558 nucleotides. NCBI's taxonomy places the organism in Eukaryota, Viridiplantae, Streptophyta, Magnoliopsida, Malvales, Malvaceae. The record is from RefSeq and is a predicted model, not a curated record.